CAGUAGCCGCGGGAAUACAGAGGAUGCAAGCGUUAUCCGGAAUGAUUGGGCGUAAAGCGUCUGUAGGUGGCUUUUCAAGCCCGCCGUCAAAUCCCAGGGCUCAACCCUGGACAGGCGGUGGAAACUACCAAGCUGGAGUACGGUAGGGGCAGAGGGAAUUUCCGGUGGAGCGGUGAAACGCGUUGAGAUCGGAAGGAACACCAACGGCGAAAGCACUCUGCUGGGCCGACACUGACACUGAGAGACGAAAGCUAGGGGAGCAAAUGGGAUUAGAUACCCGUGUAGUCCCUGUCUCUUAUAC
This 301-nucleotide ribosomal RNA is filed under the name uncultured bacterium. Its description in RNAcentral is "partial 16S ribosomal RNA". It matches the Rfam family "Bacterial small subunit ribosomal RNA", at positions 509 to 807 of the family's 1533-position model. The record is from RNAcentral.